GAUCCUGGCUCAGGACGAACGCUGGCGGCGCGCCUAACACAUGCAAGUCGAACGAGCGAGAGAAAGCUUGCUUUCUCAAGCGAGUGGCGAACGGGUGAGUAACGCGUGAGGAACCUGCCUCAAAGAGGGGGACAACGAGUUGGAAACGACUGCUAAUACCGCAUAAGCCCACAGGUCGGCAUCGACCAGAGGGAAAAGGAGCAAUCCGCUUUGAGAUGGCCUCGCGUCCGAUUAG
Molecule: ribosomal RNA, 235 nt
Filed under: uncultured bacterium
Lineage: Bacteria
Description: partial 16S ribosomal RNA
Rfam family: Bacterial small subunit ribosomal RNA
Source: RNAcentral